AUUGAACGCUGGCGGCAGGCCUAACACAUGCAAGUCGAGCGGAUGAGGGGUGCUUGCAUCCCGAUUCUGCGGCGGACGGGUGAGUAAUGCCUAGGAAUCUGCCCGAUAGUGGGGGACAACGUUUCGAAAGGAACGCUAAUACCGCAUACGUCCUACGGGAGAAAGUGGGGGCUCUUCGGACCUCACGCUAUCGGAUGAGCCUAGGUCGGAUUAGAUAGUUGGUGGGGUAAAGGCUCACCAAGGCGACGAUCCGUAACUGGUCUGAGAGGAUGAUCAGUCACACUGGAACUGAGACACGGUCCAGACUCCUACGGGAGGCAGCAGUGGGGAAUAUUGGACAAUGGGCGAAAGCCUGAUCCAGCCAUGCCGCGUGUGUGAAGAAGGUCUUCGGAUUGUAAAGCACAUUAAGUCGGGAGGAAGGGCUGUAGGUUAAUACCCUGCGGUUUUGACGUUACCGACAGAAUAAGCACCGGCUAACUUCGUGCCAGCCGCCGCAGUAA
Molecule: ribosomal RNA, 500 nt
Filed under: uncultured bacterium
Lineage: Bacteria
Description: partial 16S ribosomal RNA
Rfam family: Bacterial small subunit ribosomal RNA
Source: RNAcentral